CGCGUGGGUAAUCUACCUUGAGGUGGGGGAUAGCCUCGGGAAACCGAGGGUAAUACCGCAUGAGUCCUCAAUGACAUAAGUCGAUGAGGGGAAAGGCGGGGCUCCUUCGGGACCUGUCGCCUCUAGAUGAGCCCGCGUCCGAUUAGCUAGUUGGUGGGGUAAUGGCCUACCAAGGCAGCGAUCGGUAGCCGGCCUGAGAGGGUGAACGGCCACAUUGGGACUGAGACACGGCCCAG
RNAcentral lists this ribosomal RNA (236 nucleotides) under uncultured bacterium. RNAcentral describes it as "partial 16S ribosomal RNA". It matches the Rfam family "Bacterial small subunit ribosomal RNA", at positions 114 to 334 of the family's 1533-position model. The record is from RNAcentral.